RNA transcript from Myotis myotis, 1080 nucleotides. It is a transcript of the gene named chromosome unknown C5orf52 homolog, with no coding region annotated. Lineage: Eukaryota; Metazoa; Chordata; Mammalia; Chiroptera; Vespertilionidae. The record is from RefSeq and is a predicted model, not a curated record. The transcript has 2 exons.
UCAUUAACAUUCACUUGCCACCUGGCUUCCCUCCUUGGGGGUUGCACACACAUCUGGCACAAACAGCAGGCCCGAGCGCGCUCCGUCUGAGGUCUCUGGAGGACCUCAGGAGAAUAUUCAUCAGCUUUCCGCCCUGUCUCUCCUCAGGGUCCUGGGCUCCACUGAUUGGUCCCGCCGGGGAGGGGUCAUUAGUCACCGCAGCUGGUGCUGAUGUCACCGGGGCAGGCUCCGCCUGGUUCUGCUGCUUCCCUGGGCUUGGCGCUGAUACACAGCUGAGGCCUAGCUGCCAUCUCCAGGGGCUACUGCUUACAGGGAGUGUCCUGCCAAGGCUUGUAGUAAUGCCGGUUGUUAGGCACCCGGGACCCUCUGCACCUGGCCCCUCCUUCCUGCUCUGCUCAUGCCUCCCUAACUGGCCGCUACACCUGCACAGGCAGCCUUAUCAGGAGCAAAGAUCAAGAAUAAACCCGGGCAGGGGCAGGGGGAGAGAGCCGGGCCAUGUCGCCACGGGCAGUGCCCUGGCCUGAACCAGGGGCCAGCUGGCCAGGAGGCGAGGGCAGCGGUGGCUUUGGGUCAGCGCCUGGGCGUCGCGGGAAGGACCCACAGGCAGGUAAUGGCCGCCGUGGGGGCGGGAGGCGUCCAUCUCCGCGCUUGGCGUCAGCGGGCCACUUGUGCUUCGGGCGCACUUACUGGUUUCUGGGCGCGGCACCUGCUCCCGGCCUGUCCCUCGCCCCUGGGUUUCGGGAGCGAACCCGUCCGGGACAGACAGCCGGAGGCCUCCGCGCUCAUCGCUGUUACCCCAGAACCUGGCACGGGUUGGGGUGCAGGCAGGGAUGGUGGCCUGGAGCUCCCCGCCCCUCCCCGAGGCCCGCCCACCAAGCUCUCGCCCCACAGGUGUUCCUAGGACGCCAUCCGAGGGCGGGGCCCUGAGCCGGGCGCUGGCGACGCCAGAGACGGACCGGGGUCCGAGUCCCGUCCGCUGAGCGCGAGUAGGACCCCAGCCCGCCGGUCCGGCUGCGUGGGGUGGCGCGGCCCGCGGAGGGCCCCGCGCUCGCCACCGCCUGCGCCGCGCGCCCGCGGAGU